Molecule: long non-coding RNA, 736 nt
Organism: Pseudopipra pipra
Lineage: Eukaryota; Metazoa; Chordata; Aves; Passeriformes; Pipridae
Exons: 4
Source: RefSeq, a predicted model, not a curated record
UCCCUGCCCAUGGCAGGGGGUGGGAUGGGAUGAGCUUUAAGGUCCCUUCCAACCCAAACCAUUCCAUGAUUCCAUGACUCUGUGAUGUGUCUUGGAUGCAGCCAAGGGUCACCACACCACUGCUGCUGCAUCACAGAGGCUUCCAAGUGGAGUGAAUUGGCAGUCAAGAGCCAGUGGAUGUGUCCAGGGAUUCAGCACUUUGGGCUUGCAAAACAAUCCCAGAGAGCACCAGAGGGAUGGGAAGGAGGAUGGCAAUGAAGAAUGAGGUAAAAACCGGGAGAAGAGCAAGGACACAGAGGAGAACAAGGGAAAAUGCAGAGGGGAGAGAGGAGGAGACCUGCAGAAGGCAGAGCAGCUUUGCCUCUCUGGCUGCACGAGUACAUCAGAGGAAGGAAAGGAGCCAGGUUAUGAAAGAAGACAAGAACUUGUCAGGAAACUUGAAGCAGAAGAUUCAAACAAUAAAGCCAUUCCCAGCUCUGUGGCUGCACUGACACCUCUUGAGCCCUGACCCUGGCACAAAACACUCGAUGCCUUGAAGAUGGUUGGCAGGUUUUGAGAACCACUGAAUCCAUUUGAGAACCAUUAAACCCAGGACUCCUGCCUAGAAGAUAUCCCAGCUGGGCCAAACAUAGGGAAAUACAAGAAUUCAGUGGAACAAAGCAGUGGCUUCAGUUUAAUAUUCUCUUUGUCUACAAAGAGGCCCUAAGAGGACUUCAAUAAAGAGCUGAAAAGCAAA